UACGGGGGGGGCAAGCGUUGUUCGGAAUUACUGGGCGUAAAGGGCCUGUAGGCGGCCAACUAAGUCAGACGUGAAAUCCCUCGGCUUAACCGGGGAACUGCGUCUGAUACUGGAUGGCUCGAGUUUGGGAGAGGGAUGCGGAAUUCCAGGUGUAGCGGUGAAAUGCGUAGAUAUCUGGAGGAACACCGGUGGCGAAGGCGGCAUCCUGGACCAACACUGACGCUGAUAGGCGAAAGCCAGGGGAGCAAACGGG
This 253-nucleotide ribosomal RNA is filed under the name uncultured bacterium. RNAcentral's name for it is "partial 16S ribosomal RNA". It matches the Rfam family "Bacterial small subunit ribosomal RNA", at positions 524 to 776 of the family's 1533-position model. The record is from RNAcentral.